UGCAAGUCGAACGGACCCGCAAGGGUUAGUGGCGGAAGGGUCAGUAAUACGAUCGAAUGUACCCCGAGGUUGGGGAUAGGCAUGGGAAACUGUGCGUAAUACCCGAUAAGCACCACGGUGGAAAGAUUUAUCGCCUUGGGAGCAGCGAUCGUCCUAUCAGGUAGUUGGCGGGGUAAUGGCCCACCAAGCCGAAGACGGGUAGCCGGUGUGAGAGCACGGCCGGCGACAUCGGGACUGAGACACUGCCCGGACUCCUACGGGAGGCUGCAGUAACGAAUAUUCCGCAAUGGGCGAAAGCCUGACGGAGCAAUGCCGCGUGCAGGAUGAAGCGGUUUCGCCGUGUAAACUGCUGUCAGGGACAAGAAAAACUGAUCUGUCCCAGAGGAAGAGACGGCUAACCCUGUGCCAGCAGCCGCGGUAAGACAGGGGUCUCGAGCGUUAAUCGGAAUCACUGGGCUUAAAGGGUGCGUAGGCGGAUCAGUAAGUGUCGUGUGAAAGCCCCCGGCUCAACCGGGGAACCGCAUGGCAAACUGCUGAUCUUGAGGAAGCUAGAGGCCGGUAGAACGAUUGGUGGAGCGGUGGAAUGCGUAGAUAUCAAUCGGAAUGCCUAAAGUGAAGACAGCCGGCUGGGGCUUUCCUGACGCUGAGGCACGAAAGCGUGGGGAGCAAACAGGAUUAGAUACCCUGGUAGUCCACGCCCUAAACGAUGCGCACUAGACUGGAGCAGCUCUGACGCUGUUCUGGUCGUAGAGAAAUUGCUAAGUGCGCCGCCUGGGGAGUACGGUCGCAAGGCUAAAACUCAAAGGAAUUGACGGGGGCUCACACAAGCGGUGGAGCAUGUUGCUUAAUUCGAAUCAACGCGAAGAACCUUACCUGGGUUUGACAUGGUCGGAUUAGUUUCUGGAAACAGGAAUGACACUCGCAAGAGUGGAACGAUCACAGGUGCUGCAUGGCUGUCGUCAGCUCGUGCUGUGAAGUGUCGGGUUAAGUCCUCUAACGAGCGCAACCCCUGUCGCUAGUUGCCAACACGUCAUGGUGGGGACUCUAGCGAGACUGCCGCUGUAAGGCGGAGGAAGGUGGGGAUGACGUCAAGUCCUCAUGGCCCUUACAUCCAGGGUUGCAAACGUGCUACAAUGGCGCGUACAGAGCGACGCGAGGCCGCAAGGCGGAGCAAAUCGCAAAAAGCGCGCCCCAGUUCGGAUUGCAGGCUGCAACUCGCCUGCAUGAAGUCGGAAUCGCUAGUAAUCGGAGAUCAGCUACGCUCCGGUGAAUACGUUCCUGAGCCUUGUACACACCGCCCGUCAAGUCAUGGGAGCCGGUAGUGCCCAAAGUCGCCACGUUCCAGCAGUGCCUACGGCAAGAUCGGUGACUGGGACUAAGUCGUAACAAGGUA
RNAcentral lists this ribosomal RNA (1393 nucleotides) under metagenome. RNAcentral describes it as "bacterial SSU rRNA". It matches the Rfam family "Bacterial small subunit ribosomal RNA". The record is from RNAcentral.